GGGGGUUUCGUCGGUGGCGCGGUGGGGAGGAGAGCUGAUUUGUAUGAGGGACGGAUCACCGGCUAUUUUAUCCUGGCCUGUUUGGUUGGCUCUUUGGGUGGAUCGCUUUUCGGAUAUGAUCUCGGUGUUUCAGGUGGAGUGACCUCCAUGGAUGAUUUCUUGAAAGAAUUCUUCCCCAGUACAUAUCGCAGAAAGCAAGCCCACCUCAACGAAACCGACUACUGCAAAUACGACAAUCAGCUCCUCACCCUCUUCACAUCUUCGCUCUAUAUUGCUGGACUCAUUUCCACCUUCGGGGCCUCAUACGUGACACGAAAGUAUGGU
This 324-nucleotide unclassified non-coding RNA is filed under the name Hevea brasiliensis (rubber tree). Lineage: Eukaryota; Viridiplantae; Streptophyta; Magnoliopsida; Malpighiales; Euphorbiaceae. The record is from RNAcentral.